This 898-nucleotide ribosomal RNA is filed under the name uncultured bacterium. RNAcentral's name for it is "bacterial SSU rRNA". It matches the Rfam family "Bacterial small subunit ribosomal RNA", at positions 9 to 901 of the family's 1533-position model. The record is from RNAcentral.
GAGUUUGAUCCUGGCUCAGAUUGAACGCUGGCGGCAUGCCUUACACAUGCAAGUCGAACGGCAGCACGGGUGCUUGCACCUGGUGGCGAGUGGCGAACGGGUGAGUAAUACAUCGGAAUGUACCUUGUAGUGGGGGAUAGCUCGGCGAAAGCCGGAUUAAUACCGCAUACGCUCUGAGGAGGAAAGCGGGGGACCUUCGGGCCUCGCGCUACAAGAGCAGCCGAUGUCAGAUUAGCUAGUUGGUGGGGUAAAAGCUCACCAAGGCGGCGAUCUGUAGCUGGUCUGAGAGGACGACCAGCCACACUGGGACUGAGACACGGCCCAGACUCCUACGGGAGGCAGCAGUGGGGAAUUUUGGACAAUGGGCGAAAGCCUGAUCCAGCAAUGCCGCGUGUGUGAAGAAGGCCUUCGGGUUGUAAAGCACUUUUGUCCGGAAAGAAAUCCUUUGGGUUAAUACCUCGGGGGGAUGACGGUACCGGAAGAAUAAGCACCGGCUAACUACGUGCCAGCAGCCGCGGUAAUACGUAGGGUGCAAGCGUUAAUCGGAAUUACUGGGCGUAAAGCGUGCGCAGGCGGUUUUGUAAGACGGAUGUGAAAUCCCCGGGCUUAACCUGGGAACUGCAUUCGUGACUGCAAGGCUAGAGUAUGGCAGAGGGGGGUAGAAUUCCACGUGUAGCAGUGAAAUGCGUAGAGAUGUGGAGGAAUACCGAUGGCGAAGGCAGCCCCCUGGGCCAAUACUGACGCUCAUGCACGAAAGCGUGGGGAGCAAACAGGAUUAGAUACCCUGGUAGUCCACGCCCUAAACGAUGUCAACUAGUUGUUGGGGAUUCAUUUCCUUAGUAACGAAGCUAACGCGUGAAGUUGACCGCCUGGGGAGUACGGUCGCAAGAUUAAAACU